RNAcentral lists this long non-coding RNA (832 nucleotides) under Gopherus agassizii (Agassiz's desert tortoise). Its description in RNAcentral is "lncRNA (ENSGAGG00000009297.1)". Lineage: Eukaryota; Metazoa; Chordata; Testudines; Testudinidae. The record is from RNAcentral.
CAGUUCUCUUUUUUUUUCCCAGGAGAGAGACUGAACUAUUUCUUAAAAACAUGGUUUUUAUUAAUCAAUAUGUGUGUAUGCCAGGAUGAAGUCAUGAGGAAGAGACGUCCUUGAAUUGCUUUACCACACUCUGCUCAAUGUGCCUUUCAUUCUCAUGACAUUUGUAGAGCUGCUCAGACACAUUCCUUCCACCACCACCACUCCUUUUUCCCGUGAAGAGUGAUCACUCUAGGGUUCUUUCGUAGCCCAGCCAGGACUGCCUAAUGAAACCCAGAGAUAUGAUGGACAUGGAUUGGAACUGUGAGGGUGAAUGCAUUGCUUCCCCGUUGGACAAUGGAUCCACAGUCUCCAGAAGAUUUCCAAACCCAAGAUAUUCAGCAAGAAUAGCUAUUUUGCAGAAAGUAGCACUUUUAGGCCCAGUCCUGUAGGUGCUCAGCUCAUGGGACUCCUAGUCUCCCAUUGAAGUCAACUACAGUUGCAUACCUGGAGCACUUGCAAGAACAAUCUUUUUUCUUUUAUGAUGUCGAAGGAUGUUGUUUCGAUCUUUUGUUGUUUUCUUCUUUAAGGCUAUAGAACAAGAGCCGCAUUCUGUUCAUUUGAUUUGAAUACAAGCAAAGCUGAGCUCAUGCUGUGUUUAUUGCCAUAAGUGAAUGUUUUGGAGUAUUUGAUUUGCUAUAUUACAGAUUGUUUGAGUUCUGGACUGAGCCCCAGAUGACUCAUAAAACUCAGAGAUUUUGUAGCAAGCACAUUAUGCUGACUCACGCUCCUCCUUACCCGUAGUCCUAGACCUGUAGUUUUCAAAGUUUUUGAGCCCAAACCAGACAAAUCAUAA